Arachis ipaensis is the source of this 427-nucleotide non-coding RNA. The record is from RefSeq and is a predicted model, not a curated record. Lineage: Eukaryota; Viridiplantae; Streptophyta; Magnoliopsida; Fabales; Fabaceae.
UUCGUUUAAGAUUCCGGAAAACUUUAUUGUCUUUGUAUGUGGGUUUCAGUCGCUAUCGCUCGAGUCCGGUCACCGCUGCUGCUUGAGGUGGCUGCCGGGCUGCCACCGAACCGGCUCAGAGACCGCUGCUAUUUCGGUUCAGCCGUUCUUUCUUAGUUUCAGUCGGGAUCUGAUGAUUGCGUGUCGCAUAAGUGUUGAUGUGACCACUGUGCCGUUCCUUUCAUUUCAGAAUUAGUAUCCGGGCUUAUAUGUGGUGUUGAGGCUGUUUCUGCUAUUGAGAAAAACAAGCGGAGCUAGGAUUUUGGUUGUUGGUUUCGGGUCGAGACGAAAGGAGUUGGUUAACGAGUUUGGAUUGUGAUUUCAACGUAUCGAGGUAGGGGCUUUUUAUACAAACUGAUUUAUUUUAAAGUGGAAAUUGUUAUAAAUA